UACUGUAAAUAUGAUCUCUAUGAUUUGUCCUAAAUAUGAUCUUUGUCGUUGCAGAUGUUUUGCUGACUAUACUGGAAAACAUUGUGAUAAAAAAUCAUUGGAAGAAUCACGUGAUAACGAGCUGAUCGUAACUAUUUUUGCUAUCACCAUAUCAAUGACUGCAGUAACUAUGUUCGGUAUAGUUUGUUGGCUCACUUUAAUAAG
Parasteatoda tepidariorum (common house spider) is the source of this 204-nucleotide non-coding RNA. The record is from RefSeq and is a predicted model, not a curated record. Lineage: Eukaryota; Metazoa; Arthropoda; Arachnida; Araneae; Theridiidae.